Molecule: ribosomal RNA, 506 nt
Filed under: uncultured Glomus
Lineage: Eukaryota; Fungi; Glomeromycota; Glomeromycetes; Glomerales; Glomeraceae
Description: SSU rRNA
Rfam family: Eukaryotic small subunit ribosomal RNA
Source: RNAcentral
AGCAGCCGCGGUAAUUCCAGCUCCAAUAGCGUAUAUUAAAGUUGUUGCAGUUAAAAAGCUCGUAGUUGAAUUUCGAGAUCAGUACGCUGGUCGUGCCUUCGGUAUGCACUGGUGUCACUGGUUUCUCCCUUCUGAAGAACCGUCAUGCCAUUCAGUUGGUGUGGCGGGGAAUCAGGACUGUUACUUUGAAAAAAUUAGAGUGUUUAAAGCAGGCUCGCGCUUGAAUACAUUAGCAUGGAAUAAUGAAAUAGGACGUUUGACCCUAUUUUGUUGGUUUCUAGGAUCGACGUAAUGAUUAAUAGGGAUAGUUGGGGGCAUUAGUAUUCAAUUGUCAGAGGUGAAAUUCUUGGAUUUAUUGAAGACUAACUACUGCGAAAGCAUUUGCCAAGGAUGUUUUCAUUAAUCAAGAACGAAAGUUAGGGGAUCGAAGACGAUCAGAUACCGUCGUAGUCUUAACCAUAAACUAUGCCGACUAGGGAUCGGAUGAUGUUAAUUUUAUAAUGACU